GACGAACGCUGGCGGCGCGCUUAACACAUGCAAGUCGAGCGAAGCGGCGGCCGGGUGAGUAACACGUGAGUAACCUGCCACAGACAUUGGGAUAGCCUCCGGAAACCGGGUUUAAUACCAAAUGGUCUAAGAUGGACUCGCGUCCCAUUAGCUAGUUGGUGGGUAAGGGCCAACCAAGGCGACGAUGGGUAGCCGGCCUGGGAGGUUGAACGGGCUCAUAGGAACUGCGAGACGGUCCAAACUCUACGGGAGGCAGCAGUGGGGAAUAUUGAACAAUGGAGGAACCUCUGAGGCAGCGACGCCGCGUGAACGAAGAAGGCUUUCGAGUCGUAAAGUUCUUUUAUAUGGGAAGCGGUACCAUAAGAAAAAGCCCCGGCUAACUACGUGCCAGCAGCCGCGGUAAUAC
Molecule: ribosomal RNA, 406 nt
Filed under: uncultured bacterium
Lineage: Bacteria
Description: partial 16S ribosomal RNA
Rfam family: Bacterial small subunit ribosomal RNA
Source: RNAcentral